AUAGUAAGAGUUUGGUGGAGAGUGGGAAAUCCUUACCGAAGAUCCAUCUUGAGAAGUUGGACAAAGUAGGAAGGAUGUAGCUUCAGUGGUUGUAUUUAUAUUUGAAGAUCCAGUUUGGGGGACAGAGUAGGAUAAGAUAAUUGAGCUAGCAAGUAGGUGCAUCCAUAUCCGAAGAUCCACUUUGGGGGACAGAGUAGGAUAUGAUGUAUCUGAGUAAAGUACCACUACAAGCGUAGAACCUGUUUAGAGUUCGAUAUUCAUAUGAUUAUUUGAAUGGGUUGAGUUUAUGAUGAUCAUGGUGUGUUUAUUGUAUUAUUAAGAAAUUUGACUUAUAAGUUAGAAAUUAUGUUAUUAAUUUUAAAUAUAUCAUGUUAUUUUGUUGCAAUAGCUCACCCUUGCUUUAUCUGUUAUUUGGUGGUUACUGUUGUAUUGUGUGUUUUCUCUCGGUGAUGAUCAUCUGGUGGGUGUGAGCAGAAAGUGGUGAGACGCCGGUGGAACAGGCGUUAGAUGGAGGAUCGACUAGUGUUUAGCUCUUAUGGACAAGAUCCUUGUUUUAAUCGUUUUAAGUUUAGAUUGUAUUAAGUUUAAAAUUUGAGUGAUAGUUUGUAUAUUGAGGAAAACUUGUAUUCCUCGUUUCUAUGAUUGUUUUAUCAUAUCAAGAAUGUAAUAACUAUAUUAUAGUUUAAUACUAUAAUUAUUGGGAUGUUACA
This 710-nucleotide long non-coding RNA is filed under the name Vigna radiata. RNAcentral describes it as "long non-coding RNA (VRAD_LNC008065)". Lineage: Eukaryota; Viridiplantae; Streptophyta; Magnoliopsida; Fabales; Fabaceae. The record is from RNAcentral.